AGUGAACGCUGGCGGUAGGCCUAACACAUGCAAGUCGAACGGCAGCACAGUAAGAGCUUGCUCUUACGGGUGGCGAGUGGCGGACGGGUGAGGAAUACAUCGGAAUCUACUUUUUCGUGGGGGAUAACGUAGGGAAACUUACGCUAAUACCGCAUACGACCUACGGGUGAAAGCAGGGGAUCUUCGGACCUUGCGCGAUUGAAUGAGCCGAUGUCGGAUUAGCUAGUUGGCGGGGUAAAGGCCCACCAAGGCGACGAUCCGUAGCUGGUCUGAGAGGAUGAUCACCCCACCGGGAACGGAGAACCGGCCCAGACCCCUACGGGAGGACGCAGGGGGGAAUUUGGGAAAAGGGGCGCAAGCCUGAUCCAGCCAUCCCGGGGGGGUGAAGAAGGCCUUCGGGUUGUAAAGCCCUUUUGUGGGGAAAGAAAAGCAGCAGGUUAAUACCCCGCUGUUCUGGCGGUACCCAAAGAAAAAGCACCGGCUAACUUCGU
RNAcentral lists this ribosomal RNA (491 nucleotides) under uncultured bacterium. RNAcentral describes it as "partial 16S ribosomal RNA". It matches the Rfam family "Bacterial small subunit ribosomal RNA", at positions 29 to 506 of the family's 1533-position model. The record is from RNAcentral.